CUUUCCUCUCACUUCUCUCAUCUCCCUCUCUCACAACGACCUUUCUUUGUCUCAUCUCUCCUGUGUCUAUGUCGUGGCAAGCAUGGUGCUUAGGCGAAUGUUGGAAGUGUGGUCGUACUUCAUAAGUAGCAGUUAGGGAUGCACACAAGCAAAGGUGGGCAGGGGCUCCAAUGUUCAGGUAGAGGAGAAGACGGAAGAUGAAGCCACUGGCCGCAUCAGGCAUGUAUAGCUGAUCCAUGGCCAUGCAUAUUUGUGUCGGAAUGGUUAAGCUUGCGGCAAUUCGGUACAGUCAACUUUGAGGGUUCUUGCCUUGUCUGAGUCUUUUGUUUGAGGCGACCGAUUUGGGUUGUUUUGUCUUACAAAUUUUUCUAAUUUCAGCGAGGAGUUAGAUUGACAUCGAGUCAUGCUCGUGCUAUAAGCUUUAUACCUAUCUUUGUAGACCAAAGCUUUUGUAGACAAGAGCUGACA
RNAcentral lists this long non-coding RNA (468 nucleotides) under Hordeum vulgare. RNAcentral's name for it is "long non-coding RNA (HVUL_LNC014325)". Lineage: Eukaryota; Viridiplantae; Streptophyta; Magnoliopsida; Poales; Poaceae. The record is from RNAcentral.